GCAGAGGCGGAUAGGGUUUGACCCGUAUCCAGAAGGUGAAAACCGCAUAUAUAGUGGUGGUGAGGGAUUUUUUCCGGGCCACCGUAAAAAAUUUACGAGUCAGGCCGCAGAUACGGUGUUAUAGUGUGCUAGAGAUGCUCUUAGACACCCGAAAACCAGAGAUUGGGAUCAAUAUUCCCCUUAAUACCUCUCUGUGAUUAUUCCCCGACCAAAAGCACUUUCCUCUUUGGAUGGGAUGGGAUACUUCAUCUAGUGCCGGCGGCACAGCUCCCAACCCAACCUGAUUGCUGCCGCCGCGAGCCCCCUGUUCCUCUGCCAGGUACCUCAUUGUGAUUGACGAUGUAUGGACAAUAGCAGCGUGGGAUGCUAUCCGAUCCACGCUGCCAGACAACAACCUCGACAGCAGAAUCAUGGUGACCACUCGGAUAGAGGCUGUGGCUGUAGCAUGCAGCGAUGCUAGUGAAAUUUGUGGAGAUAACAUCUAUCACAUCGAGCCCCUCAAUUCAGAAGACUCCAAGAAGCUGUUCCUCAGCAGAGCAUUUGGCUCCAAGGAUGCCACUUGCCCCACAGAGCUGGAAGAUGAAAUGAACAAAAUUCUCAAGAAAUGUGGUGGGCUGCCAUUGGCCAUUGUCAGCAUUGGCAGCCUUUUGGCCAGCUAUAAAUCACCGGAGCACAAGGAUAUGUGGGAUAGGGUUUGCAAAUCAAUUAGUUAUCAUAUGGAUACCAAUCCCACCCUUGACGGGAUGAGGCAGAUACUCACACUCAGCUACGACCACCUGCCCUAUCACCUCAAGGGUUGCAUGAUGUAUCUUAGUAUUUUCCCGGAGGAUUUUCUCAUCAACAAGGACCGGCUCGUAUACAGAUGGAUCGCUGAAGGAUUGGUUGAGGAGAAGCGGGGGAUGACCCUGUUGGAGGUUGCAGAAGCCUACUAUGACGAGCUGGUGAGUAGGGGCAUGAUUAAUCCCGCUGGCGAAAUAAUCAGCCAUGUCUAUGGAGCUGUGGAGACAUGUCGGGUGCAUGACUUGAUGCUGGAGGUCAUGGUGUCCAAAUCCUUGGAGGCCAACUUUGUCAGCCUGAUAGGUGGGCAGUAUGAUGGGAUGUCCUAUGACACAAUACGCCGCCUCUCCCUCCAUGGUGGUGCGCAGAUGCCCAAGGAAUCUCCAUCCAAGAAGUACUCUCCAUCCAAAAGACCCAAGGAAUCUACAUCCAAGAAAAUGGUUAAGAAGAAUGACUUAAAAGACAUUAAUGUGCAGCAUGUCCGAUCACUGAGUAUGUUUCAGCUCCAAGGGAACAAGCUGCUUGAUCGUCUGGGUGAGUUCACCCUGCUGAGAGUACUUGACCUGGAAGACUGCAAGGGCGUAGAAAACAAGCAUAUGGGUGACAUCUGUCGGAUGUACCUUCUGAGGUAUUUGUCCCUGAGAGGUACAGAUAUCAGUGUGCUGCCUCCGAAAGUCUGUGACCUGGAGCAUUUGCAGACACUUGAUGUACGUGCCACCGGCCUUGCUAGACUUCCAGAAACUCUGAUAAAACUAGAGAAACUUGAGCGCUUGUUCUUCUCCCAGAAGGAUGUCUGGUCUACCAUGUGGAAGCCACCUCAGGGUCUCUGGAAAAUGAAGGCGCUGCGGGAGGUGGGCUGGAUAUUGCUGGAAGAUGAUGCUGUUGAGGUUGCCCAAGAGGUAGGUGAACUAGAAAAUCUGCAAAGGUUAAGUAUCUACGUCGAUUGUGAGAGGCCCAAUGGUCCCAAGGUUCUUGAAGAGCUUGCCCUGUCCCUGAGCAGGACGCACUCUCUCCGGUCGCUCGACAUGGGCACCAUGAGUUAUGAGGCCAAUGCGUUGAACUUUCUCCUUGAGCUCCCCUCGCCGCCACGCCUCCUCCGAUUCCUCAGGAUCGCUGGUGGCAUUGACAAAUUGCCCAACUGGGUUGAAUCGCUCACAUAUCUUGUUGAGUUUCACAUGUCAUGGGCACACUUUAUCGAUGACCAACUAUUUGGGGUUCUGUGUAAGUUGCCCAACCUGAAGAGCAUCUGGAUGCAGCGGAACUGCUACACCGGUCUAGAGCUGAUUGCACGCGCUGCACACAACUUUCCAGCGCUCAAGAAUCUCAGAGGGACCUGUGAUAACGAAAUGCCCAGAGUCUACAAAUUUGAGGAAGGAUCCAUGACAAAGCUCGAGAAACUUUCACUGAAUUUCGACAACUGGAGUGAGAAGAGCAUUGUGGGCAUUGAGCACUUGACAAGCCUUAAAGAGGUGCAGCUCGCAGGUAAGAGAGGGAACCCUGCGCUGGACCGAACUCUGGAGCAGCUAAAGGUGGAGAGUGGAAGGCACCCCAAUCAGUUCACAGUUGGAGUGAAGUACGACUAACCUUGUCGCUCUGCUUGCUUGCUGGUUGCAAGCUGUCAUUGCCAAAAAUAGUGUGGCACCAUCUGCCAAGGGAUUACCGUCGUUGCUCGCCCCAGGCUGCUCCCAAGCAGCUGGAGUUCGUCUCAUUGGCGUCACUCUUGACCAUGGGGGCCCAUGUCCAGCAGAUUGGCGCCCUCGAUCUUCUCUGCACCGGAGCGACACCUCUUAAUUAAUCAAUCAAUUAAUUUGGGGAUGCAUUCAUGACAUUCAGAAUAUUUUUAGAGGAAAAUCUUGGAACCCUUCCUUGUUAUUCCUCUCAAGUUGCCAGCUAACAUAUCUCAGGUCAGCAUGAGAGCUGGCUCUCCAGUCAAAAUUCUGAAGUUAGCAACCAUUGUGUUUAUCUUGUAUCAACACUGAAUUUCAGUCUCUCUAAAUUAACUGAGUUUGGCUCAGAGAAGUGUGAGUACAUACUUAACUGAGAUUUCCGGCAUACUUGUUUGUGUUAUCGCAGAUCCUUGGCAGCAUGAUCGAACAGAUAUGGAGUAUUGCCCAUCCAUUAAUAGACGAUAGCGUUUGUGUACAGCGACAAGAAUUUGUGCUGGUAAUAUGUAUCAUUAGAUCUCAACUGCUAAUGCUUUCACCAGGAAACAAGUUCAGAUAUAAACAAUGUCAUCAAUUAGCAUCAUCUGUGGUGAUUAGCCCAUUCUUAACAGCAAGCAAGCCUGCUAUAUAUACCGGUGUUGACUGGGCCGACGGCGACCAGCUUAAAGAGGCCAUAGAUGGCCAGCUUGUUCUCUCUUCAAACUCCUCAUGAAGAACCAGUCAGCAAUUAGCAUCUGGGUUGCUCAUUUUGUAUGUAUACCUUCACCUGUUAACAGGUCUCCAUCAGUUUGUCCAUAUCAACUAUAC
Molecule: ribosomal RNA, 3248 nt
Filed under: Triticum aestivum (bread wheat)
Lineage: Eukaryota; Viridiplantae; Streptophyta; Magnoliopsida; Poales; Poaceae
Description: partial small subunit ribosomal RNA
Source: RNAcentral